CUACGGGGGGCAGCAGUGGGGAAUAUUGGACAAUGGGCGAAAGCCUGAUCCAGCCAUGCCGCGUGUGUGAAGAAGGCCUUCGGGUUGUAAAGCACUUUCAGUGGGGAAGAAAGCCUUGGGGCUAAUACCCUCGAGGAAGGACAUCACCCACAGAAGAAGCACCGGCUAACUCCGUGCCAGCAGCCGCGGUAAUACGGAGGGUGCGAGCGUUAAUCGGAAUUACUGGGCGUAAAGCGCGCGUAGGCGGUCUGAUAAGCCGGUUGUGAAAGCCCCGGGCUCAACCUGGGAACGGCAUCCGGAACUGUCAGGCUAGAGUGCAGGAGAGGAAGGUAGAAUUCCCGGUGUAGCGGUGAAAUGCGUAGAGAUCGGGAGGAAUACCAGUGGCGAAGGCGGCCUUCUGGACUGACACUGACGCUGAGGUGCGAAAGCGUGGGUAGCAAACAGGAUUAGAUACCCAGUAGUC
Molecule: ribosomal RNA, 463 nt
Filed under: Vreelandella stevensii
Lineage: Bacteria; Pseudomonadati; Pseudomonadota; Gammaproteobacteria; Oceanospirillales; Halomonadaceae
Description: partial 16S ribosomal RNA
Rfam family: Bacterial small subunit ribosomal RNA
Source: RNAcentral